Molecule: ribosomal RNA, 521 nt
Filed under: Bacillus sp. (in: firmicutes)
Lineage: Bacteria; Bacillati; Bacillota; Bacilli; Caryophanales; Bacillaceae
Description: bacterial SSU rRNA
Rfam family: Bacterial small subunit ribosomal RNA
Source: RNAcentral
GGCUCAGGAUGAACGCUGGCGGCGUGCCUAAUACAUGCAAGUCGAGCGAAUGGAUUAAGAGCUUGCUCUUAUGAAGUUAGCGGCGGACGGGUGAGUAACACGUGGGUAACCUGCCCAUAAGACUGGGAUAACUCCGGGAAACCGGGGCUAAUACCGGAUAACAUUUUGAACCGCAUGGUUCGAAAUUGAAAGGCGGCUUCGGCUGUCACUUAUGGAUGGACCCGCGUCGCAUUAGCUAGUUGGUGAGGUAACGGCUCACCAAGGCAACGAUGCGUAGCCGACCUGAGAGGGUGAUCGGCCACACUGGGACUGAGACACGGCCCAGACUCCUACGGGAGGCAGCAGUAGGGAAUCUUCCGCAAUGGACGAAAGUCUGACGGAGCAACGCCGCGUGAGUGAUGAAGGCUUUCGGGUCGUAAAACUCUGUUGUUAGGGAAGAACAAGUGCUAGUUGAAUAAGCUGGCACCUUGACGGUACCUAACCAGAAAGCCACGGCUAACUACGUGCCAGCAGCCUUGGUA